UUUCAACAACGGAUCUCUUGGUUCUGGCAUCGAUGAAGAACGCAGCGAAAUGCGAUAAGUAAUGUGAAUUGCAGAAUUCAGUGAAUCAUCGAAUCUUUGAACGCACAUUGCGCCCCCUGGUAUUCCGGGGGGCAUGCCUGUUCGAGCGUCAUUA
RNAcentral lists this ribosomal RNA (154 nucleotides) under Pseudeurotium zonatum. Its description in RNAcentral is "5.8S ribosomal RNA". It matches the Rfam family "5.8S ribosomal RNA". From Rfam's summary of the family: 5.8S ribosomal RNA (5.8S rRNA) is a component of the large subunit of the eukaryotic ribosome. It is transcribed by RNA polymerase I as part of the 45S precursor that also contains 18S and 28S rRNA. Functionally, it is thought that 5.8S rRNA may be involved in ribosome translocation. The record is from RNAcentral. RNAcentral also lists the same sequence under 5 other names. Lineage: Eukaryota; Fungi; Ascomycota; Leotiomycetes; Thelebolales; Pseudeurotiaceae.